UGGUCUCAGAGACUGUGAGUUCUUCAAGGC
RNAcentral lists this non-coding RNA (30 nucleotides) under Mus musculus (house mouse). Lineage: Eukaryota; Metazoa; Chordata; Mammalia; Rodentia; Muridae. The record is from RNAcentral.